Small nucleolar RNA from Betta splendens (Siamese fighting fish), 124 nucleotides. Ensembl annotates it as small nucleolar RNA SNORA47. Lineage: Eukaryota; Metazoa; Chordata; Actinopteri; Anabantiformes; Osphronemidae. The record is from Ensembl.
AGGAGGACUGAGAAGGUUGAGCAGCUUGUGUUGUGCUGUUAUAACUGGUUAUAGCCUCCAACAGUAACAAACAAACCACCUGAUCAACUCACUCUGUACUAAACAGAGCUGAUAGGUGUGUUUG